Long non-coding RNA from Mercurialis annua (annual mercury), 540 nucleotides. RefSeq lists it as uncharacterized. The transcript has 2 exons. Lineage: Eukaryota; Viridiplantae; Streptophyta; Magnoliopsida; Malpighiales; Euphorbiaceae. The record is from RefSeq and is a predicted model, not a curated record.
CGAGCUCUGCCAUCUCUCUAAGUUAGAGAGAGAAACUUUCCUAGAGAGCUAAAGUUCGGUUUUUCUUCGAUCUUGAGCGUAGGAGACGGUGAUCUUCGGCUUUUAGCCGGAAAUCAUCGUCUCUUAGCUCGUUUUUUGCUAUGUUUGCGUUAAUUUUCGAAUAAAUUGCUCCGUUUCUUGGAGAAUUGUGUGUUUUUCUGGGUGUUUUUGUUCGGUUUCAGUUUUAUUUGUCCAUAUCCUUGGUUCGUUCAAGACUUUUCAGCGUUUGUUCAAACUUCAGCUUCACGUUCUUGAAGAUUCAAGGUUUUUUUUUCAUCGUUCGAAGUAUCUUAGCAGCGGAACAAGUGGUUAAUAGAAGUUAUGGGGUACGAUUGGUGCCAGGGAAUUCUUUACACUUGAAUUCAUCCUGUUUUUAGUCACCUGUUAAAUUUGUAUCUUUAAAUUUCUAUUGUUGUUUCGUUUCUUUUUGUAGGUCGAUUAUAGGGUUUUCAGAUGUUUUUUAUAUUUUUUUAAUUUGAUCUACGAUGUACUUCGACGGUA